RNAcentral lists this ribosomal RNA (238 nucleotides) under uncultured bacterium. Its description in RNAcentral is "partial 16S ribosomal RNA". It matches the Rfam family "Bacterial small subunit ribosomal RNA", at positions 96 to 334 of the family's 1533-position model. The record is from RNAcentral.
CGGCGGACGGGUGAGUAACGCGUGGGUGACCUGCCCCAUACCGGGGGAUAACAGCUGGAAACGGCUGCUAAUACCGCAUAAGCGCACAGUACCGCAUGGUACGGUGUGAAAAACUCCGGUGGUAUGAGAUGGACCCGCGUCUGAUUAGGUAGUUGGUGGGGUAACGGCCUACCAAGCCGACGAUCAGUAGCCGACCUGAGAGGGUGACCGGCCACAUUGGGACUGAGACACGGCCCAA